CACCGCCCGUCACAUCAUGAAAGCCGGUUGUACCCGAAGUCCAUAUAGAAACCGCAAGGAUCUAGUGGCCGAAGGUAUGGCUGGUGAUUGGGAUG
RNAcentral lists this ribosomal RNA (95 nucleotides) under uncultured bacterium. RNAcentral describes it as "partial 16S ribosomal RNA". It matches the Rfam family "Bacterial small subunit ribosomal RNA", at positions 1388 to 1482 of the family's 1533-position model. The record is from RNAcentral.